This 403-nucleotide ribosomal RNA is filed under the name uncultured bacterium. RNAcentral describes it as "bacterial SSU rRNA". It matches the Rfam family "Bacterial small subunit ribosomal RNA", at positions 64 to 507 of the family's 1533-position model. The record is from RNAcentral.
GCACGGUAUGGUUUCGGCCAUGCAGUGGCGGACGGGUGAGUAACGCGUAGGGAUCUGUCCUUGGGUGGGGGAUAACCGUGGGAAACUGCGGCUAAUACCGCAUGACACCUGUGGGUCAAAGGCGAGAGUCGCCUGGGGAGGAGCCUGCGUACGAUUAGCUAGUUGGUGGGGUAAGGGCCUACCAAGGCGACGAUCGUUAGCUGGUCUGAGAGGAUGAUCAGCCACACUGGGACUGAGACACGGCCCAGACUCCUACGGGAGGCAGCAGUGGGGAAUAUUGGACAAUGGGCGCAAGCCUGAUCCAGCAAUGCCGCGUGGAUGAAGAAGGUUUUCGGAUUGUAAAGUCCUUUCGGCGGGGACGAUGAUGACGGUACCCGCAGAAGAAGCCCCGGCUAACUUCGUG